This 217-nucleotide ribosomal RNA is filed under the name uncultured Thiobacillus sp. Its description in RNAcentral is "partial 16S ribosomal RNA". It matches the Rfam family "Bacterial small subunit ribosomal RNA", at positions 1167 to 1382 of the family's 1533-position model. The record is from RNAcentral. Lineage: Bacteria; Pseudomonadati; Pseudomonadota; Betaproteobacteria; Nitrosomonadales; Thiobacillaceae.
AGGAAGUGGGGAGUGACGUCAAGUCCUCAUGGCCCUUACUGGGUAGGGCUUCACACGUCAUACAAUGGUCGGUACAGAGGGUUGCCAAGCCGCGAGGUGGAGCCAAUCCCAGAAAGCCGAUCGUAGUCCGGAUUGUUCUCUGCAACUCGAGAGCAUGAAGUCGGAAUCGCUAGUAAUCGCGGAUCAGCAUGUCGCGGUGAAUACGUUCCCGGGUCUU